This 494-nucleotide ribosomal RNA is filed under the name uncultured bacterium. RNAcentral's name for it is "bacterial SSU rRNA". It matches the Rfam family "Bacterial small subunit ribosomal RNA", at positions 28 to 534 of the family's 1533-position model. The record is from RNAcentral.
GACGAACGCUGGCGGCGUGCUUAACACAUGCAAGUCGAACGGUAAGGCCCUUCGGGGUACACGAGUGGCGAACGGGUGAGUAACACGUGGGUGAUCUGCCCUGCACUUCGGGAUAAGCUUGGGAAACUGGGUCUAAUACCGGAUAGGACCACGGUCUGCAUGGAUUGUGGUGGAAAGCUUUUGCGGUGUGGGAUGGGCCCGCGGCCUAUCAGCUUGUUGGUGGGGUGAUGGCCUACCAAGGCGACGACGGGUAGCCGGCCUGAGAGGGUGUCCGGCCACACUGGGACUGAGAUACGGCCCAGACUCCUACGGGAGGCAGCAGUGGGGAAUAUUGCACAAUGGGCGCAAGCCUGAUGCAGCGACGCCGCGUGGGGGAUGACGGCCUUCGGUUGGUAAACCUCUUUCUAGCAGGGACGAAGGGUGACGUGACGGUACCUGUAGAAGAAGACACCGGCCGAACUACGUGCCAGCAGCCGCGGUAAACACUAACUCGU